This 543-nucleotide small RNA is filed under the name Pongo abelii (Sumatran orangutan). Its description in RNAcentral is "retained intron". The record is from RNAcentral. Lineage: Eukaryota; Metazoa; Chordata; Mammalia; Primates; Hominidae.
AAUUGAGAACCCUUGCAAUGGUGCCAGUUACUCCAAAGCCCAUGCCCUCUUUGUCCUUUCAACAGAAGCCGGGAGCAUCCUGAUCUGCCGCUGUGGUGCCAGCCUUGGAAACAGCACUCAGGGGAGGGGAGAUCUCAUUUCAGAAACAUCCCUGUCACUGACACCAGGAGCAAGGAGGAAGCUCCAAGCUAUAGAACUUUGAACGGGGCAGUGGAGAAGCCCAGGCCCCUGGCCCUGCCCCUGCCGCGUUCUGUGGAGGAAUCCUAUAUCACCAGUGAGCAUUGCUACCAGAAGCCCCGCGCCUAUUACCCUGCCGUGGAGCAGAAGCUGGUGGUGGAGACGAGGGGCUCUGCCCUCGAUGAUGCGGUCAACCCCCUCCAUGAGAACGGCGAUGAUUCCCUUUCCCCGCGCCUGGGCUGGCCUCUAGACCAAGACAGGAGCAAGGGGGACAGUGACCCCAAACCCAGCUCCCCAAAGGUGAAGGAAUAUGUCUCCAAAAAGGCCCUACCAGAAGAAGCCCCUGCUCGGAAGCUGCUGGACAGA